GCAACAAUAAAAUUAACCCUUUCUCUCUUCCUCUUCAUCAUCAUCGCUCACACUAUCCAUCAAAUUUGAUUUUCUUUCUUCCCUAAAACUUCCAACAAUCGAGCAAAAAGGAUUCACAUCUUCAAUCUCAAUUCUCAAAUAAGCAAAAUCAAAGUGUCAACCUCAAAUCCUCAAUCUUGAGAUUGAAAAUCUAAGGUAAAGUGAGUAUUUCAAUUUUUCGAUAUUCUAUUCUCUUUUUUUCAGCUGAACCCUAAAACCCCAAUUUGUUAAAACUUCUAUUUUCUCAAUUCCUUUAUAAUCAAUUGGUGUGAAGAACAAUAGUAUUUAGUUGUGAUUUUCAUCUGUUAUGUUCCGUAGGUUAUUGUAUGUCUUGGAUUUGUUCAUCUAACUUUGAUAGUGUGUUUUUGGUGUUGGUGAUAUGGUUAUUUGUUUGGGUAGUGUCCUGCUCCUGCUAUAUUAUGCAAGUGUUAAUAUGAGUUCCACUCUUUGAAGCACGGUGUCGGACACCGACACUUAUAGUUACAUUGAAUUGUGUUAUUUUUUCAAAUUAUUAUCGGUGUCGACGUGUCAGUGUCCGUGCUUCAUAAGUUCCACUAGACCUCACUGAAUUAUAAUUUCAAAGUUAGAAGAAUUGCAUUAUGAUAUGGUCACGGGUUUGGAUGUGAAAUUGGCUUAGACUCACAGUGCAUUGUUUCGUCCUUCAACUUCAAUUGGCACUUGUUGCUUGUGCUAAGACUCACAAAAAUGUUAGUGGUUUUUUAAGUAAGGUCAAUAUGCAUGUUAAUUUCAUACGAUCUUCUAAUAAGAGACAAGAAUUGCUUUGAGACAAACAAUUAACUUAGUUCGCUAAAUUUCUUUCAUGUUUAGCCACACUAGUAGUAUUAAAUGUCUGGAUCCGCCCCUGCUGAUUUCAUAAGCUAUAUUGGAAAACUGAAAGAAAAAAGAAAAAACUUAUUUUUCAUUAGUCAUGCCAAACAGUCUCACAAAACUUAUGUCAGUAGAUAAGAUCAAAUAAGUCAAUCCAAACAGGUCCUAAAUAAAUUUUGUUGAUUUUCUUUAACUUGGGAAUAAUUUGCUAUUUUGUAAAUUUGUGGGAUUAAAUUGCUCUAUUCUUACAAUUUUGAGGAUCCAAAUUUUUAUUUACUUCUUAUUGUUCCUCUCACAAAGAGACCGUUUUUUCAUAUUCUUUCAAAAAUAUUGGUGAUUGUUAUAUUUAUCUUUUUAUUAUAGCACAGUAGUAACAGUUCCUAUAGCAUAACGUCUAAGUUUUAUCCUUAUUUAUGUAUUAAUAUAUUGCAGGUAGUGUUUCUGA
Molecule: long non-coding RNA, 1312 nt
Filed under: Trifolium pratense (red clover)
Lineage: Eukaryota; Viridiplantae; Streptophyta; Magnoliopsida; Fabales; Fabaceae
Description: long non-coding RNA (TPRA_LNC000876)
Source: RNAcentral